CCCUCCAGCCUCCUUCCUCCCCCGCCGGUGAGUUUUAUUUUUUUCUUUUUUGGAUUUUCUUUGUGGCAUUUUUCCUCUAAUACAAAAUGAUCUGCAUUUGUACGUGUGUUAGAUAAAAAGCUUUUUAAACGGUCGUCUAUUAAUACAUAUUUGCUGUGAAGUUCAAAUAUCAGAAUAAUAUAGUUGAAAGUGAAAUUCAGUAACCAUGUUGUAGAGCUACUGUUCAAUGGUUUAUUGAUGCUGAAAUAUUCCCUGUGCAUCCCAGUAGCUUCACAAUAUUUAUAUAAUCAGUCUAAUGGGCUUGUUUCUGUUGGUAUGCAGCUCAGCUAUUGGAUGUUAAUGGUGAAUCGAAGAUAGUGCUUAUUCCUAUUGUAGUUGCUGUAAAUCCGCUAUUGUGUUGUUUAUCCCAUUUUAAGUUCUGGAUUAUAUUGAUAGAAAAUCUGUGCUACAUUCAUCAUGACAAAACAUCAGGCAACACUACAUGCAAAUUAUGUCUCCCGUUAAUUUGAAUUGCGCACUGAUUAUCAGAGGUCGAGACUUCUCUGAUAGAUAAUGCUUAUAAAAUGUUCAUGCUCAUGUAGGUGACAUCGACCUCGACUACUUCGUCUACGGUGUAGCUUGGUGAGCAUCUCCCUCUAUCUCGCCUUCCCUUUUACUCUAUCCCGGCCAUCGAGCCGAUGACACUUGUAGUUUAAAUGUC
RNAcentral lists this long non-coding RNA (700 nucleotides) under Brachypodium distachyon (stiff brome). RNAcentral's name for it is "long non-coding RNA (BDIS_LNC004823)". The record is from RNAcentral. Lineage: Eukaryota; Viridiplantae; Streptophyta; Magnoliopsida; Poales; Poaceae.